GACGAACGCUGGCGGCGUGCCUAAUACAUGCAAGUAGAACGCUGAAGGAGGAGCUUGCUUCUCUGGAUGAGUUGCGAACGGGUGAGUAACGCGUAGGUAACCUGCCUGGUAGCGGGGGAUAACUAUUGGAAACGAUAGCUAAUACCGCAUAAGAGUAGAUGUUGCAUGACAUUUGCUUAAAAGGUGCAAUUGCAUCACUACCAGAUGGACCUGCGUUGUAUUAGCUAGUUGGUGGGGUAACGGCUUAACAAGGCGACGAUACAUAGCCGACCUGAGAGGGUGGACGGGCAAACUGGGACUUGGACACGGCCCAGACUCCUUCGGGAGGGAGGCGUAAGGAAAUUUUGGCAAUGGGCGGAAGGCCGAACGGGGAAAGCCGGGUGAGUGAAGAAAGUUUUCGGGUCGGAAAGCUCUGUUGUAAGGGAAGAACGAGUGUGGGAGUGGAAAGUUCACGUUGUGACGGUAUCUUACCAGAAAGGGACGGCUAACUACGUG
This 495-nucleotide ribosomal RNA is filed under the name uncultured bacterium. RNAcentral describes it as "partial 16S ribosomal RNA". It matches the Rfam family "Bacterial small subunit ribosomal RNA", at positions 28 to 507 of the family's 1533-position model. The record is from RNAcentral.